UCGAAAUAUUCCCUUCCUAAAAUCAUUUCAGAAACCUAAACCUAAAAUCUUCAUGUUCUAAGGCUGUAGGAAGAGUGGAAAACCUAAUUGGUGUUCGUUUUGGCAACGACGGUGCAAGUAGAAAGUAAGGCAGCUUUUGACGAUAUUUUGGACUAGUUUGGUUGUUGUGUGUUAGCAAGGCAAUCUACAGUACAGUUGACUAGAGAGGGAGUUGGGCUUAGAGUUUGGGCUUGAGACAUAGAGGUUGGCCCCAUCUCCGAGUUUUGAGAUGCCUUGAUGUUUUUGUUUGAGAAUAAACUUAUUUGUACCUAAAUAUAUAUUUUGAAUUAUAUGUAUAAAAGUUUGUAACAAUACUUAGUUUUCAUACAGUGGUUUAAUUAAAAUGUUGUAUAAAAGGUUUUUAUA
This is a long non-coding RNA of Mercurialis annua (annual mercury), 405 nucleotides long. RefSeq lists it as uncharacterized. The transcript has 3 exons. NCBI's taxonomy places the organism in Eukaryota, Viridiplantae, Streptophyta, Magnoliopsida, Malpighiales, Euphorbiaceae. The record is from RefSeq and is a predicted model, not a curated record.